CCUACGGGGGGCAGCAGUAAGGAAUAUUGGUCAAUGGACGCAAGUCUGAACCAGCCAUGCCGCGUGGAGGAUGAAGGUCCUCUGGAUUGUAAACUUCUUUUAUUUGGGAAGAAACUCCCGAUUUCCAUCGGGAUUGACGGUACCAGAUGAAUAAGCACCGGCUAACUCCGUGCCAGCAGCCGCGGUAAUACGGAGGGUGCAAGCGUUAUCGGGAUACAGUGGGUUUAAAGGGUCCGUAGGGGGACAGGUGAAAUCUCCGGGCUUAACCCGGAAACUGCCAUUGAUACUAGUUGUCUUGAAUACUAUGGAGGUGAGCGGAAUAUGUCAUGUAGCGGUGAAAUGCUUAGAUAUGACAUAGAACACCCAUUGCGAAGGCAGCUCACUACGGAAAUAUUGACGCUGAGGCACGAAAGCGUGGGGAUCAAACAGGAUUAGAUACCCCUGUAGUC
This 449-nucleotide ribosomal RNA is filed under the name uncultured bacterium. Its description in RNAcentral is "partial 16S ribosomal RNA". It matches the Rfam family "Bacterial small subunit ribosomal RNA", at positions 338 to 795 of the family's 1533-position model. The record is from RNAcentral.